AGUGACCAUCCUUCUUCCAGCUGUAAAGGAUGAAGCGUAUUAAGCAUUAGCCAGGCAGUAAUAAAGCUAAAUAGCCAUACAGCAGCUCUGACAAUGUUGUGCUGGAUAUUGCAGUUUGCUUUCAAGGUGCAGAUGUAAGGAUUUAAAAAAAUAAUAAUUUGGCACCAAAUAAAUAUGAGUAGCAUCCAUUGGCCUAUUAAAUCGAGUCAGGAUUUGAAGGGAAUUGAGUUUGAGAAAUGAAUAAAUAAAGGCACCUUGGUGCCUGACCCCCUCAAUCAUGCGUGUGACUUUGAGCACUCACAGGUGUGUGCAGCUACUCAGCCCAGGGCAGGUGGGUUAGCCUGGGGUUAUACCUUGGCCCUGGGAAUAGACACCAUUGGGCCUUUGGUUUUGUUGGGCUUCCUUUUGUCUUUACACUCCACACAGGUGGUAGAAAUCUGAGUUCUAAAGCACUUUUGUGAAAUACAAGCUAAGUGAGAAUUCUAAAGAAAAUGCUUUGGUUUCUGCUGUCUCAAAUAAGUGGC
Molecule: long non-coding RNA, 524 nt
Filed under: Homo sapiens (human)
Lineage: Eukaryota; Metazoa; Chordata; Mammalia; Primates; Hominidae
Description: HSALNT0148763
Source: RNAcentral